AAUGUUGUAAGAUCUGGUCAGGUUGUGAAGCAGGAACAGGUGGAGUCAAUUUCACUUUCACAUUAGUUUUGGUCAAACACGUCUGAUACAUUACAGACACUGAGGGAAUCAUCAUAUAAUCACCACAUAAAUAAGCUGCAGAUCAACCAUGUUGAAGACAUCGAUGGAGGUCCGUAGAUCACAGAUGUGUGAUGAGAUGCAGCGUGAGGUUCUUCAGGUUGCUCUUCUGGCUGUGAAUAUGUAUGAAGUGAACAUGGACAUUGCUAACUACAUCAAGAUGGAGUUUGACAGAAGGCAUGGGCCCUCCUGGCACUGCAUUAUAGGGGACUUUAGUGCCAGCGUGUCACCUAACACGAACACUUAUAUUAGCUUCUCUGUUGCUGGCAAAAGAAUUGUGUUCUUCAAAACUGGCUGAGGUUCAGCAACAGUUCAAACACCAUUUAUUUUAUCCACAUAAUUAA
Molecule: long non-coding RNA, 461 nt
Organism: Megalobrama amblycephala (Wuchang bream)
Lineage: Eukaryota; Metazoa; Chordata; Actinopteri; Cypriniformes; Xenocyprididae
Exons: 3
Source: RefSeq, a predicted model, not a curated record